This 74-nucleotide transfer RNA is filed under the name Rhinopomastus cyanomelas (common scimitar-bill). Its description in RNAcentral is "tRNA-Ser". It matches the Rfam family "tRNA". Rfam says of the family: Transfer RNA (tRNA) molecules are approximately 80 nucleotides in length. Lineage: Eukaryota; Metazoa; Chordata; Aves; Bucerotiformes; Rhinopomastidae. The record is from RNAcentral.
AAGAAAGAAGCAUUAGUGGAUUAAUGCGAUUGGCUUGAAACCAGUGUAUGAGGGUUCGACUCCUUCCUUUCUUG